GGUUGCCCUCUAGAGUGGGAACAUGAGUUCACUGCUUUUUCAUCUUGUAUUCCCUGCAUCCAGCACACAGUAGGUGCUCAGUGUGUGCUUGCUGAAUGAGAACAGGAAGUGGAAAGAGGGAGUUCGAAGCAGGGGAAGUGAACAAACAGUGUGGUGGUGACUCAGAGGUAGGGCAGGCGCUCCACUAACUGCUGAAGCCAUGAGUUUAUUUUUCAUUAGGGUUUUCUGCCAGGGCCGGGGCCCUACAAAGCCUGGAGAGAGAGAGAGAGAGUGAGAGUGGCAGCCUUUGAACAGGCAGCGCUGUGCUUUUUCACUUCCAUGUGUACCUUACACACACACAGCUUCUGACAUGGGAUACCAGCACGAGGCUGCUGAGAAAGCAUGAACACUUUUGGUUGCCUCCCCCAGAGCUGUGUCCCUCUUCUUACUUGCUUACAGCACCUCAAUGCUGUUCAUGAUUGCUUCCCCAGAAAUGGUUACUGUGGUGGCUUUAUGGCAUGUCAGCUGGGCUAGCCUGGAGUUUGUUUCCUAGAACCCCCUUUCCUGCAUGUUCCCAGCUGGGCCAUGAGGGUGACCUUUGCCUAAGAUAUGGAAGGCAGAUGCAGUCUCGGAAGAAUGGGUCACCAAGCUCAUCUCAUGGUUGAGGAUUCGUGGCCAGACCUGCAACUGAUUCACCUUUUCUGGAUCCCCCUUUGGUCUCCAACGCCACAGAUCUCAGUGACAAAGAGCACCAGCUUCUCCUACAGGACAUCAAGAUUACUUGUCCGGACAACAUAGUUGGAACUGAGGCAACCAUUAUAAACAUGUUGGGGUGUUAUCCAAUGAAAUAACCUGAAGGCCAAGAUGGGAAGAAUCUGUGUCCUUGAAGGCAUAGCUGAGCAGAUGAAUUCACCUUCCUCAAAGCUGCCUCUACUGUUGGAGUUCCAGUUAUGUGCGGAUGGCCAACUUCCAGGUAGCAAAAAUGGCUGCAGCAACUCCAUUUCUCACAUCCAUAAACCACGCUGUCUCUCAGGAAGAGAAAGAAUGCCUUUGUCCCCAGUUCCUACAUAAGAGUCCUAGACUUCCCCCUGCCCGCACUGGCUUUACUGAUUCACCCAACCAAUCACUUUUGUUGGGUCCUGGGCCCACUGAUUGACUUCGGCUAGAUCACAUGUUCCCUGCUUAAAGCAGAGUGGCUUUAGCUUGGGACCAUGGGGCCCACAAAUGGAAAUCAGGGCUUCCUGGGAAGUGAUACAGACUUACGUGAGUGUAAUUAACAACUGUCCCCUGCACUUCAUCUCAGAUUGUCCAGAGAAGCCCCAAUUUCAUAUUUGUUGUUUUUUAAAUCCAAUACCUUCUAAAAUACAUAACCAAAUAUAUAGUGGUGACUUCUUUGAUACGACACUAAAGGGACAAUCUAUGAAAGAAAUGAUUGAUAAAUUGACCUUCGUGAUCUUCAAAACUGCUCUAUGAAGACUUUGUCAAGAGAAUGAGAAACAAGCCCCAGACUGGGAGAAAAUCUUUACAAAGGAAACAUCCAAAAGGAUUGCUAUCCAAAAUGUACAAAGAACUCUUAAGAUACAACAAUAAGAAAACUAACAACCCAACUAGAAAAUGGACCAAAGACCUUAACAAACACCUCACCAAAGAAGAUAUACAGAUGGCAAUCAAACAUAUGAAAGAUGCUCCACAUCAUGUAUGAACAAGAAAAUGGGAGUUAAAACAACAAGAUACCACUAAACACCUAUUAGAAUGGCCAAAAUCCAGAACACGGACAACACCAAAUGCUGACAAGGAUGUGGAGCAACAGGAACUCUAAUUCACUGCUGGUGGGAAUGAAAAGUGGGGCAUAUAAUUUGGGAGUUUCUUACAAAACUAAACACACUGUUAUCAUACAAUCCAGCAGUUUCGUUCCUUGGCAUUUUCCCAAAGGAGUUGAAAACAUAUGUCUACACAAAAACCUACACCUGAGUAUUUAUAGUAGCUUUAUUAAUAAUUGCCCAAACUUGGAAGCAACCAAGAUGUCCUUCAGUAGGUGAAUAAACUGUGGUACAUCCAGACAAUAGAAUAUUAUUUAACACUAGUAAAAAAUGAGCUAUAAAGCCAUAGAAAGACAAGGAGGAAACUUAAAUGCAUAUUACUAAGUGAAGAAACCAAUCUACAAAGGCUACAUACUGCAUGGUUCCAGGUAUAGGACAUUCUGGAAAAGGCAAAACUGUGGAGAUGAUAAAAAGAUCAGGGGUAGAAGACGAGGGAUGAAUAGGUAGAGCACAGAGGAUUAUUAGGGCAGUGAAAAUACUCUGUAUGAUGCUAUAAUGAUAGAUACAUGUCACUGAGUAUCUGUCCAAACCCACAGAAUGUACACCACCAAGAGUGAACCCUAAGGUAAACUAUGAACUUUGGAUGAUUCAAUGUGGGUUCAUCAGUUAUAACAAAUGUGCCACUCAGGGGGGGAUGUUGAUAAUAGGGGAGGCUAUGCAUGUAUGAGGGCAGAGAGUCUAUGGGAAAACUGUACUUCCCUUUCAAAUUUGCCAUAAACCUAAAACUGUUCUGCAAAAUGUAGUCUUGAAAAUAGUCUUGAAAAUAAAUAAAAUGAU
Manis javanica (Malayan pangolin) is the source of this 2576-nucleotide non-coding RNA. NCBI's taxonomy places the organism in Eukaryota, Metazoa, Chordata, Mammalia, Pholidota, Manidae. The record is from RefSeq and is a predicted model, not a curated record.